UACGUAGGGUGCGAGCGUUAAUCGGAAUUACUGGGCGUAAAGCGCGCGUAGGCGGCUACUUAAGUCGGAUGUGAAAGCCCUUGGCUCAACUGAGGAAGUGCACCCGAAACUGAGUAGCUGGAGUACGAAAGAGGGUCGCGGAAUUCCCGGUGUAGAGGUGAAAUUCGUAGAUAUCGGGAGGAACACCGGUGGCGAAGGCGGCGACCUGGGUCGAUACUGACGCUGAGGCGCGAAAGCGUGGGGAGCAAACAGG
RNAcentral lists this ribosomal RNA (253 nucleotides) under uncultured bacterium. RNAcentral describes it as "partial 16S ribosomal RNA". It matches the Rfam family "Bacterial small subunit ribosomal RNA", at positions 524 to 776 of the family's 1533-position model. The record is from RNAcentral.